CGGAAAAGUUAGGGCUUACAGAUUAACUCUGUCAUGAGAAAGCAUUUCAUUUCUUGUAGAAUACUUCCCAUCAACCAGAUCAUUACAAAAAUUAGCAUAAAAUUUCACCUAUUUAAGAAUCAGGCAGUGCAAACUACACAAUACUAAAUAUGAACUUCAGUUUAGCGGCGGUGGUUGUUGUUGUUGUUGUUUUAUAAAUAUCACCAGACACACAUCUGCGGUUUUAGUGCUUGCCACAGUGCAGUUUUCUGGUUGACAUAUAUCUAAGAAAUGUGCGUAUUAACACCCAGGCUCUAGAGCCAAGCACAUUUUAGUGCCGGCUACAGCUGAAAGAAUAUGUUUCCAUUCCUUGUCCAUCUGUUCUCAGCAACAUAAAUUUAAGCUAGAAACACAGAAUAAGUUUCAUGAGAAAUAAGUCUAAAUAUGGCUUAGAAAAGCAAGGUGAAUGCUUUAAGUUAUUAUGACUUGUUAACAUUUCAUUUGGUAGCUAGAUGGUUGUGUUUAUAUGAAGAAAACUAACACUGCAGCUAGACCUUAAAGUUUAAAAAAUAAUAGUUUUUUAAAAUGAGUUCACUUGAAAAAAUGCAGUGGCUUGGUCACACUUUCUCUUUUCAGGGCUUUAAUUUACUACAGAUCAUGGGCCUAACAAACUUUGAGAUUUCAAAGUGCAGUUCACCACACACUUGAACUACCCUGAAAAUAUAUCAUUUAACCUCUCUGAGCUUCAUGCUAAAAUGGAUUCAUUAGUGGAAAAUGAGGGUUUUCUAUACAAAAUGAAGUACAUAACAACACGCAUAUGCUUGUUUUCCCUGGAGGCGUCUCUCAGCUAUAACCAGCUAUUACAUGGGAUCAUGUACAACGAUCAUACCCACCCUGUGCCGCUACAUACCACCUCUCUAGCCUACUUACUUACUUAUUUAUUAUUUAUUUAAUAAACCAGCUUCAUUCACUUUAUUUUCCUCAUAUGCAACUAUGUGGUGACCACAACUGGAGCCUGGGUCUGGUGCACAGACACACUGGCGUGGGUCUUUACAAGAAGGCCAGUGAAUUCCUGACAAGGAGACUUGGUGAGCACUGUCUUUCCCCAGAGAUAAGGAGUGAGAUAACUGUAAGUCUUGGAAAUAGCAUCAAAGGUGGCCUUGGUGAAGUUGCCCAGGGUGGCAAGGCAGUCCCUGACAGAGGUGGACAGAGGUGUUGCAGUCGUCAGUUCUGGCCAUCACCAGUAGCUUCUUGAGCACAGGGGCUAUGAUGAUGCCAGUGCCCCUGGGGGCAGGGAUGAGGUGCACCAGUCCUGAGCCACAGCAGCCAAUCACUUUGCAAGGGGCCACAGGGGGCUUGCUGAUCUUGUUCGCCCAGUAGCCUCACUGCAGGGGAACAAUGUAGAGCUUGGCCAGAAUGAUGGCUCCACGUAUAGCAGUGGCUGUCAUCUUAGAGCACUUGACACUGAAACUGACACAUCCAUUAUAGUCCCUAGUGGUGACAAGUGCCUUGAACCUGGUCCAUUGACCAGCACAGGUCUGCUUUUGCAAAGGCAUGAUCUUCAAAACCUGCCCUUGAGGGAUGCCCCUGGAAAAAGGCAGUGAUCUUAGAUUCUUUGAUGGGCAGAGAUAAGAGAUCUCCUCCAGGGACUUCAUGUCUUUGACCAGGCCACCCAGCUAGGUGAGAAGAAGCCACUCCUUGUCCUCCACCUUCCCUCCACAGCCUCAGUCCCAGCUCGGCCCUGGCCUAACCAUGGCUGAGACCCCUGCCCCUGACGCCACUGCCAAACCCCCUCUGUGCUUCUCAUUUCAGGGCCCCAAACCUCCACCUCCCCACCGCCCCUCUGCAGCACCUCAUCAUCAGCCAUAUGGUGUUGUCACAGAGAGGAGCUCUAGCCUACCUGUAAAAAGUGUUUAGUAGUAAAUACUUUAAAAAUAUCAAGUAAUUUAUUUACAUUUGAAAAUACAUGAAUUACAUGAAAGUAUCACUACAGAAAGGGACCAUACAUGUGCACCUAAAAUUUUACCUUCAAAGCAAGAGUUCAGGUAUUUAAGCUUCAAGACUGUGCUCCAAGACUGGGUCCUGUAGAAUUUUCUGAUGUGAGGGCGUCCUCUGCUUUCAAGCCACAUGAAAAUCUUCAGUUCGGAGAGGGACCUUGCGGCUCACACAUACCACUCUUGCUCCCUAUACAAGAAAUGCUUCUGUAAUUUUGUUUUAAAUAUCUCUUUUUGCUGUGGUUGAUUUAUCAAAUAUAGCAUGUAGUUAUGCCUCAGAGUAGUUGGAUUCAAAUUUUGGCUCUGUCACUUCCUAUAUAUGUGAAUAGGGAUAAAUUAGUUAACUUCUCCAUUUUUCAGCUCUGUAAAUUCUAAUAAUUAUUUUUGUCUUAAAUUGGCUCGGGGUGGGGAGCUGGGUAGCAAAGGAGGUGAUAUAGAGAAUGAAUAGUCCAGUGACAGAUACUGAGGAAACACCCAGCAAGCAAUACCUAAAACUGUUAGCCUCUUUUUACUGUCUUCUGUUAAAAAAUAUAAUGACUGUAAUGUGCUAAUUAGCCUAAUCUACUCUCAGGUGGACUUUGGUAACAUAUUCCUUAUCAUCAGAAAAGCAUUUCUGGAAACUAAUAUGGUUUCUCGAACUUCACAGAUUUACCUAUGACUGUGGACAAGUCACUCCGUGAUUCGGGGAUUCAAGUCUUCUGAUCUUUAAAAUGAGAAAUUUAAAUCUGUAACCUCUAAGGUCUUUGUCCAAGUAAUUUAAAAAAAUCAUGUUUGACAGCAUAUCCUCAUACUUUAUUUAUAGUACUGAAGUGUGUAUUUGCUGCCAAAUGUCUGAUGUGGGGGUGUAUAAAUGUUCCAUAUAUACUUGUGGAAUAGCAUCACAUUUGUGGAUGAUAAAAACUACUGGUAUAUUUUUUGGCAUUUUUUGGCUAAGAAUCCAUUCUUCCCAUUUGAUUUUAGAAAAAGCUGACAACACAUCUUUUCCCAGAGCACCUCAAGGUUUAGUCAAACUGAGUGUGUCGGAAAUAGGCCACCUUUUGUUACUUUUAAUAGAGAAUCCUAGUCAGAGAAACUUUCUCUGCGAAGUAACUUUUAUUUUUCAUUUCCAUAAUUUUAGGCUGUGCAGUAGGCAUAUGCACUGGAACUGACAAGGCUUCUGUUUUCUUUCAGAUCUGAGUGAUCAGCUGCUGGAGGUGGUUGGCUUGGAAGGAGCCAUGGAGAUGGGGCAAAUAUACACAGGCUUGAAAAGUGCUGGGCGGCGGCUGGCUCAGUGCUCCUCUGUGGUUAUCAGGUAGCUCCCUUCUCUAUACAGACUCUGAUAAUAAUGUUUGUUUUAUCUGUACGUCAUUAUCAAUUUCUUUUUUUAAUGAUUUUUAUUUUUUUCCUUAUAGUUGGUUUACAGUGUUCUGUCAAUUUCUACUGCACAGAAAAGUGACCCAGUUACACAUAUGUAUACAUUCUUUUUCUCACAUUAUUCUCCAUCAUGUUCCUUCAUAAGUGACUAGAUAUAGUUCCCUGUGCUAUACAGAAGGAUCUCAUUGCUUAUCCACUCCACAUGCAGUAGUUUGCAUCUCCUAACCCCAGAACAAAUAAUGGAAAUUGGCAGAAUUUACAAAGUUUUCAUUCACUGUUACUUGCAAGUUCACUGGAAUUUGAUUCUUUUUUGUUGAGACCAUGCAUGCAAUUCUAACAUACAAAUUUUUCCCCCUCUAAUCUAGUUCACACUCAGUUUAGUUUACAGAGGGAAGUAUCUACCAGGCCAAAUACCCAAUGAAAACACUGUUGAAGGACCAUUAACUUAUAUUUUUUCAUGAACUAAAGUCCACCACUGUUUCUAGAAAAGUAAAUAAUGACUUAUUAUAAAGUAAGAUUUUAUAUGUGUAUUAUAUUUAAAUUUGUUUAAAAAACAGUAUUCACAAAUUUACCUACAGAUAAAAUAGAUCUAUUUUGACCUUAAAAUGAAACCACAGGCUACAGCACAGAUAUGAUUGGUGUUAUUUAUAUGUACGAAAGUGUUGAUGCUAGAAAAUCUGCGACGUCAAACACUUUUCUCCAGGUUUGCAAUGUGGGUUUGCAUGAAAUCAAGGAGGCCCUUUUGACUAUAGGAAUUCUGAUCGUGUCAUUAGGCAUAAAGCCAGCAUUUGUUUUUUGGCAUCCAGGAUUUUUUAUCACCACAUUUACCAGGAAGCUCUUAACGGUCCUGUAAUUAAGGUACCUUUCAGGUAUUCAUUAAUAGUGAAGAGUUCAAGUUCCUUUUCAGAAGAUAUAAUUUUAGAACAGAGCCUAGCUAUUACCAUAUAUGCAUUCCCUGGUCUCAUCAUCUUAUAUGGGACUUACAGCCUGUUGUAUAAAGCUGUGUUAAACUUUGAAAUAUUUUUCCCCAGGACUAGCAAGUCUCUGCCAAUGCAGAUCGAUGGGGAACCGUGGAUGCAGACCCCAUGCACAAUAAAAAUUAUACACAAGAAUCAAGCCCCAAUGCUGAUGGGCCCUCCUCCAAAAACGGGGUUGUUCUGCUCUCUCGUCAAAAGAACAAGAAACCGAAGCAAGGAAUAAUCCUGUAUCAUUUCAUUCUUAGAGAUCUAAUUAGCAUAAUUGGGCCAUGGAACACUUAUGCUGGAAAUCUUUCAACUAUUUCAAGUCUUCUGCUCAUGCAAAAUCAUGGAAUUGGUUUAACAGUUUUUGUUACCAAGCUAAUGUAAAAUCCAGCUAUAAGAAAAUUUAUUGUCUCAGUCUUCAAUAGGCAUCUCUGCAUGAAGAAAGCAGAAGUUUACAUGAAGUGAUACUGCAUAUUUUUGUUGCAUGCAUUCCCAUAGAUUUUUAUGUUCCCUACCCAUUAUUUCCCCAACUUACAUUUACUAACCUGUAAGAAAAAUCUGUACAACAUAAAAAAAAGGAAAUACCAUGGGAAAUGUGAUUCCCAUUAUUAAUAAGCACUAAUUAAUAAUGCUACAAUGAUCAUAAAUACGGAUUGCUACACUUUUCCCACUUAGAAUCGAACAAUAUAUCAAUGAUCUCUGACCUUUGACUUGAGGAGAAACUUGUAAUUGAAAGAUUUUAUUAAAUAGUUGUCUACUUGCUGUAUCUAAAUAGUUUUUCUUCAACAUCUUAAUGCUUCUGAGUGGAAUUUAAAAUAUCAGGUAUAAAGUUUCUUGUGAUAAAAAAUAGGAAGUGGUUUUUAUUUUGUUUAGUUCUGUUUUUAAUUCCAGACAUAAGUGAAAACAUGUUACUUGGCAGCAAAGUGUGUUAAUAUGGCAAGCCUUAUUCCUUCCUGCAUGUGAAUCUAGAAAAAAAUUCUUAAUCACAACAGUAACCAAAUAGAUGUUUGAAACUAUGUGCCUAACAAACUGUGUUUCCCACCAAAGAUUCAGAAAAAAAAAAAAAAAAAGAUGCUUGAGAGAAAUGGGCUAAUGCGUAAUUAAGUAAGCAUUGUGGAGAAAAUUUAUGGUUUUCAUGAUUAAUUUGGGGGAUGACUAAAACUCUGGAAGAGAAUGAAUUACACAUUAACUAUUAAUUAAAAUUCCUACCUUUCGCAGACAAUAAGCCAUACAACACAAUCCAAGCUCAAUAGCUGAUUUCUUCCUUUUUUGGUUAUUAAUAAAUAUGUGUGUGAUUUUUAACAGAUCAGUUAAAUACACUUGAGAAAGUAAAUGAUUGUAUCAGUUCCGUUCUAGUAUAAAUUGAUACCUGUAAUAAUAUGGAGCGCACUGAAGCCAAUCAUGCAUGUAAUUAGUGCCCUCUCCCUCACCUACUCCACUACCCACUCUGUGACAUUUCAAAUAUUUAUUUGGAAAUAAUGGCCUGGAUUGUUAAGUUUUUCAUGACAUAAUUAGUUUCUCUGAUUGUUUGAAGAAAUCAUUGAAUAGUAUUUUUUAAAUGUUUCAUUAAGCCUAUGAUGUGAAAUGAAAUGCUAUUCUGGGCAGUCUUGAUAUUGUUCAUUCAUAAUGACCUGCAUCUCAUCAUUGCAUGUUUUAUGUUUUCAGACAUGCCAUAAGGAAAACGAGUGCUUGAAAUGCAUGAUUUAUUAGUUUAUCUCUCCACUCUGCAUUAAACUACUCAUGAUUUAUCAGUUCUAUUUUUCUAUUGAUUCAUUUAUCUUUGAAUAACAAAUAGCAUUUAGUGAUUCUGUUGAACAUAAUCCUGUGCAUGGAUUUAUGGAUUUCCAGUGAAGUCGCUAUAAUUUUAGUUCUUUGAUUUGUAAACUCAGCUCACUGUGGUUAUAUCAAAUAGCUACUCUCAAGCAGUGUGCUAUAAUGGAAGAUUAUGUAUAAAGCGUAUUUUUUUAGUGUUCCAGGAACAUCGGAUGGUAAAUAUCAAUCAACAAUAAGUUUAAUUGCUUUGAAAAUAAAAGCUUUUGAAUAAAUUAGGACAUAAUUUAGCAUUCUCGGGAAAAUUAUCAUUACAAUUGCAAAUGUAGCACAGCAAUCACUUGCCCCAGUAUAAUAAAGAAGUUAUUUGGCAGAGCAGUAAUCUAGACCAAAAGAAAUCUCAAGGUAGUAACAACUGCAUUACUGACAUAAUGUUACAUAACACACACAUUGAUUUUGUGUAUCUAUGGUUACAGGUAAUAAAUAUUUUUACAUAAAUUGACAAAAUUUUCUAUGAUGGGCAGGCAGGCUUUGUGUCAAAAACAUAUUCUGAAGCCACAAAUUAUUUUGUGCUCAUUACAACAUACAAUUAUUUCUUGGCUAGCUUUUAUGGUAUAUAGUUUGAAGGCAGCAACAGUUUGUGAAUCAAUCUGUGCAGUGAAAAGCUGUUGAAUAGACAGUGAGAUGAGAGAAAUCAAACAACCUGCCUAUAAGACUUCAGUAAUUGAGAUAAUGGGAUGUAGCUUUACUUCAGUGUAGCGAUAUAGCGAUAAUUAGUGAUAAUCGUAGUUAGAUUUUCAGUUAGUAGGAUUCACUGGUACCAAUAAUAAAUGUUCAAAUAGGAAUCAAAUCUACUUUCCCCCACUCAUUUUCUAAAGAUACUGACUAGUUUGCCCUUCAAGUACACUACCCUUGGGACUUGGAAAGUAGUUUUAAAAACUUCCUUUGAUAUCAGAGGAGGUAUUCACCCCAUUUUAAUGACAGCUACAAGUGAAAAAAAUAUAUUUUAAGAAAAAUUUCAAACUGAAAGCUCUAUGGUAGAUAGAAAUAUUAAAUACCAAAUGUUAACUUUGUAAUCUGGAAACUCUUCUUAUGUGUGUAUGGGGAGUGUUUGUGUUCUGGAGCAACCUCUUUUCAGUAUAGUUGCAUAAAGGUUUAAGUGGAUGAAGCUCUUAGGUAAAAAUUAAACUGAGAUUGUAAGGGUCAGAGGUAAAGGGGAAAAGAGAUAGCACUUUGCUAAACAUUGUCAUACACUGAGUGGAUAAAUAGAGAUAGAUUCCAAAGGAAACCUGGAUAACCGUGCUUCUAACAGAAGAGGAGAUGUGUGUGAAGAUCCAAGAAUUUUAAAGGUCAUAACCACUUACAUGCAUAUACCAUGUGUCUCUGAUGCUAAGAGUGCUGGUCAGUUUAUUGUGGAAGAAGAACAUAUUUUGUAGAAAAUGAAGAAAAUAGAAUUUUUAAGCAGUUUUCUUUUUUAAAGAUUACGUGAUUAUAGCCAGGAUAAAGCAAAAUACUCAGAUAUUUAGUGUAUUCUACUGUAGGGGAAAAUUUAUAUCCAAUGAGAAUAAAUGAAUGGCAUAUAUACUUUUGCAUUUUGUUCUUUUUUCCUCAUUUCAGGGGAUGGGAAGCAAUUGCAGUUUUCAAGGAAGAAUCUUUUUUGAAUCUCAGACUGCAUUCUAUUUGAAUGAGACAAAACUUUUAAAUGGCCACAUUCCUUUUUUGUGUCAGGUAAUUCACUUUUAAUUGGUAAUAAAAAGGAAAAUGUACCUUUCUUGACACAUAUAACCCCCAAAGAGCUAUUCAAAUACAGUAUAUAUACUCUAAAUUAAAAUAUUAAGCUCUUGUAAUAUAUAUUGAGAAUGUAAAAUUUAAAUAAACUAAUAAAAACUUGCAAAGGAGCUUUUAUUUUGUGAAAUGUAGAAAUUACCCCUUCAAUCUCUUACUUUAAGUGUAUUCUGUUUAAAUAAAAUUUGAAUAA
RNAcentral lists this long non-coding RNA (8036 nucleotides) under Sus scrofa (pig). RNAcentral describes it as "lncRNA (ENSSSCG00025038462.1)". Lineage: Eukaryota; Metazoa; Chordata; Mammalia; Artiodactyla; Suidae. The record is from RNAcentral.